Molecule: long non-coding RNA, 2132 nt
Organism: Toxotes jaculatrix (banded archerfish)
Lineage: Eukaryota; Metazoa; Chordata; Actinopteri; Toxotidae
Exons: 3
Source: RefSeq, a predicted model, not a curated record
AAGGAGUAAGGAAGAGUGAAAUGAAGGAAGAUAUGAAGAAGAAGGAAAGACGCGGGGGAUGAGUAUUAAAAGACAGAGAUAGAGAGAGUCAGGAGGGAUGGAGAGAUGAAGGAAAGAUGAAAACAGAAGGGGAGGAGACUCAAAAACAACAGAUGGAGGUGGACCGUGACAGAGAGACGGUGUAGCCAAGCACAAACAGGAAAGACGCAGCAGCAGCAGCAGGCGGCGGCGGCAUGGACAGAGCCGCGGUGUCAGGGAGCUCGACCAUGGCAGGAGCCGGAGGGGGGGGGGCUGUUUGGUCUGGAGGCGAGACAAGAUGAGGCCGGUAAGAGGCUCCCGCUCCCGCCCGGCCGUCGGCGCCUGGCUGUCGGCUUGAGCAGUCGGAAAGAAGCGCUGUCCUUCUCCCGGGCAGCAGACCGGCAGACCGUAGAGCUGGACGGUACCUGACCCGACAGCGCCGCCUGGAGAUCUACAGGAAGGUCGAACUGCCGGGACCGGCAGGUAAAAGAUCUGGUUCCCAGACCCGGAUGAUGAAGAAGAAGUGAUUGGACAACUGGAUUUCCGGGCCCGCGCGUUACCUCUCUGAGCACGUGACAGACUGUUUGAGAAGAGGAGCGUCUGGAUUAUAUGAAGCUGGACAACAGAGAGAGGAUGAGGAUGAUGAAGAGGAGGCUGUGAGUUACAAUUAACUGAGCGGGCGAUGUCUGCGCUUUGUAGCUGCACAUUUACAAACCUUUCGCACACUGGACGCUCACACACACACACACACACACACACACACACACACACACACACACACACACACACACACACACACACACACAGAAAGAGAGAGAGAGAGAGUUUACACACACACGGCGGGCAUCACUAGUUGGCUGGCAUGAGAUCAGUCAGCUGGUCAAAGACUUAAAAAAAAAUUCCGCCACAUAUCAUCUAAACCUUUUUAUAUCACACUGUAUUAUUAUUUCUCGGAGAUGAAAGUGGAGCGUGGGCAGUUUAGCGGGACAUCAUUGUGAAAUAUUAUCAUGGAAAUCCAAAUCAUCGUGUUGUUGUGAUGGGUUUUUUCCUCGCUUCUAAUUCUCUGGUGAUCCAACGCAUCUGUCCACUUCUUCCUCUUUUUUUUUUUUCAAACAGAAAUCUGCAGCACUUUAUGUUUCAUAACAUUUUAUUUUCAAAUCCCGUUCCAAAGCAGCCGAGACCCAGUCUGCCUGUCUGCAUCUAAUGGCUCAACGCGACACUGAGUCAUUAUGUCGCAUGAGAAGCGACCCGCGGGGGCUUCAGCGCGGAGCUUUGAUCAGGAACACAUGGCUGAACUUCCUCUGCCGCUUGCAAUAUAGCCAGCUGCUGUCCGUUUGUUCGGAGAGAAGGAGGAGGAGGAAAAGAAAAGACGGCGGAGUGAAGGGAAGCAGCGCUGACUGUAAUUCAGCCCGAGAGAAAGCAGAGCAAACACAAAGAGCUGAGGUGGACGGGGCGAGGAGAAAAUAGAAGGAAACACACAGGGAGAAGAAAUGGAAGAAGAAAGAUGGAGGAUGUAGUGGUAAAGGAAAGGAGGGCGGACAGCCUCGGCUCUCAGGCUGCAGGUCUGCAGGCGCCAUGUUGAGACGGCAACAUUUCUGCAGCGCCACACUGUCUCCUGCUUCAUGUCGGUGCUGUCUGCCUGUCUGCUGUGCCUUCCUUUGUCCUGUCUGUCUCUCUCUCCCACCUUCACUUUUACCACGGGGGUAAUUGACCAACUAGUUUAUUGGUAUUUGAAGGAAGUGGAGGAGGUGGAUGUACCAGUGGUGUGUAUUACUACACAGUGUGGUUUUAUGGCGGCCUUAUUGCCCCUCAUUGCCUAUUGGUGGUCAACAAAGGAUGCUCCAAAGAAGGUCUGUGCCUCCUGGAAAGUCUGCUUCCUUUGUCGUCCUUCCUGUCUGUCUCAUUCUCUUUUGAUCGGUCGACUUUGUCUUUCAAAUGCACAUGGCUGAUUCUCCGAGACCGAACAGAUUUUUUUUCCCAGGCAUCCUCGUCUCUGUGUAACCAUCCCCUGACAUCAUUCCUAAAUUAAAUUCUUCUAUUAACCCACAUGCCAGCUGACCUUAGGCUGUCUCUGUUUCCUCACAAAGUUUAUCAUGUGUCAUCACCUUGCUGCU